CGCAUCAGAGCACACAGCGCCCACCAAACGGGUGCACCGCACAGCCGUCACCACUCAACAUCACCUGAGGAAGCAAGAAGACGACCAACGAAAGGAGUGUGUGGGAUGCGUGUCGGUGCAAGCAUCACUCGAGCACACCCUUGCACGCAUACUAACCACUAGGCAACUGACGACAAAUCGACGCGCCGAAGGUCUGCGCGGUUGUUAUACUGUCUCUCGCUAGGUAUUGGCCAACGACACUAACGACGCGCGUGCCCGGAGAGCAGCGCCAGCAAUGGUUCUCGUGCUUGUCGUGGGUGACACGUGGGUGCCGCAGCGGGCCAGUGGCGUCCCGGAGGUGUUUUGCAAGAUGUUCUCGCCUGGUCGCGUUCACAAGCUGUUGAUCACGGGUGGCGUCGGCAGCAAGGAAAUGUACGACUACUUGCGCACGAUUGCCCCAGAGGUGCACUGUGUGACGAGCAGCGUCGACCGGCAAUGGACAGAUCACAUGCCCGAGAGCGUCGUACUGACGGUUGAAGGCCUCAAGCUCGGGCUGAUUCAUGGUCACCAAGUACCAGUGGGAGACAAGGACUCGCUCGCGGCCGUGCAGCGGGAGCUGGAUGUGGACGUGCUGGUGUCGGGCUCUACACACCAGUCGAAGUACUUCGAGUUUGAUUCCCACCUCUUUGUCAACCCAGGCUCUCUUAGCGGUGCGGACACAGAGUACGACGUGAAUGUUGUGCCCUCCUUCAUGCUAUUGGACAUACAGGACAAGUCUGUGGUCACCUUCAUUUACCAGUAUCACCCGGAGGACGAUACCGGCGGUGGCGGCACCGCUAGCGAGGACUUGGCGGCGACUGGGAUAGUGCCUGGCCUCAGGAUCAAGAAGAAGGAAUGGGCUAAGGAGUGAAACUCCUGCGUGUUUGCGAUUCAGCGUUUGAUGCGGCUCUCUCCCUCCCUCCUUCCCCCCUUUGUGGCCUGGUACACGGCCGUUGGCGCCGCUCUGGGUUGUCAUUUCCUUUUCGUUCUGUAGCAUGUCUGUGCGGGCAGAGAGCACGUUUCCUGUGCUUUAGUACUUCAGUCAUCAGCGGGGCAAUGGUGCGAAGAUGACAUCUGGCAUGCCCUGGAGUUGGUCGCCUCGUGGAGCCGUCAGGUGUUUAGGAGGCUCCGACUUGUGGUUGUGCGCGUUUCUGUCUGUGCGUGAUGCGUAGCGGAGCCAGUACAAGGCACCUCCUCACCUUUACUGUCUUCCCUGUCUGGACGCUACCUUGGCGGCAUUCUAUUUUGUUGUUGCCGGGAUUCGAUCCCUGUUUGUGCUCCGUUGCUUCACGCUGCCUCCUCCUUUCUCGGUGGCUUCCCCGUCCCCUCUACCACUUCCUUUGGCUUUGUAUCCUCUGGCUAUUCUUGUGGCGCUUCUCCACCCUCUUCGACGUUUUGUGACGGCCAUGGGUUGCGGUUCAUUCUGCUCUCUGCGAAUCAGCGUCAGCACUCGUGCGACUAGCCGAUGGCGGCCGCUUCUCCCAAAAAGCUCCUGCCGCUUGUAUGUCUGAGCGCCAGAGAAUGAAAGUUC
Molecule: unclassified non-coding RNA, 1549 nt
Filed under: Leishmania donovani
Lineage: Eukaryota; Euglenozoa; Kinetoplastea; Trypanosomatida; Trypanosomatidae
Description: gene:LdHU3.32.1460(CDS-product:vacuolar_sorting-l ike_protein)
Source: RNAcentral